Molecule: ribosomal RNA, 312 nt
Filed under: uncultured bacterium
Lineage: Bacteria
Description: bacterial SSU rRNA
Rfam family: Bacterial small subunit ribosomal RNA
Source: RNAcentral
AGUCAAUAGAUACCCAGGUAGUCCACGCCGUAAACGAUGAGUACUAGGUGUAGGAGGUAUCGACUCCUUCUGUGCCGCAGUUAAACACAAUAAGUACUCCGCCUGGGAAGUACGGUCGCAAGAUUAAAACUCAAAGGAAUUGACGGGGGGUCCCGGCACAAGCAGCGGAGCAUGUGGUUUAAUUCGAAGCAACGCGAAGAACCUUACCUAGACUUGACAUCUCCUGAAUAGUGUAGAGAUACAUGAAGCCCUUCGGGGUCAGGAAGACAGGUGGUGCAUGGUUGUCGUCAGCUCGUGUCGUGAGAUGCUGGG